Long non-coding RNA from Astatotilapia calliptera (eastern happy), 1741 nucleotides. The record is from Ensembl. Lineage: Eukaryota; Metazoa; Chordata; Actinopteri; Cichliformes; Cichlidae.
AGUCAAAGUAGACUGGAACGAGUGCACAUGUCUGUAAGUUAUAGUUGCGUACUUCAUCAACUAUCUAGCACUACAGAAGAGGAGCGAGAAAAGCAAAGUGUUGCAGGUAAUGGAGAAAAUGGAGACUAGAAAUGAGCUGCAAAGAUGCAAUGGGAAAUGCGGGAUGGACAAUAAUAAAGAGAGACGACUCCUUCAGCUGCUUUUCCUCAGCUUUGGUGUGCUGUGUGUCAUACAAGCCACUCUCAAUCUUGCUUUACGCCUCACAUUCGAGGGGAAUGACUCACCCCACACAAAAAAGUUAUGUGGCAACAACCAGUUAAAACCAGGAAAUUUUAACCAAAAUUCUUGUAGCGAACUACAAGAAAGAAUCAUUGCUUUGAACAGAGACAGAAGCCUGCUUGAAAAGAGAAAUGAAGAGCUCCUUAACAUCAUAAAGAGUCUUGAGGAGGAGAAGAAGAGGCAGAAUGGUUUCAUCUCAUCGUAUAAUUAGAAAAAUGGCGGCUCAUAUGAAACAGUUGAGUUUCUCUCUAAAAUGGUUUUGGUAUUAUUUCAACAAAGUUUAUUAUUAUUAUUAUUAUUAUUAUUAUUAUUAUUAUUAGUCUAUAAUCUGUUUUAAGCUAAUUGUCCCACAUGUUUGACUUUUGCAGUUAAUGAUUGUGAUUGUAUUACAGUUUGGAUUUCUGUUUGGGGUUUUUAAAAAUUUUUUUUUAUAAUUUUUAUUAAUUAUUCUUUGAAAUGUUUAUGUCUGUAUUAUUCUGAAAGAGAAUUUCUUGUUAAAUUGAGUUGUUCAUGUCUGGUUUUACUUCAUGGUUUUCAUUAUAAUUUCUGUUUUACCAUCCAUCAUUUCUACCAAAGUGAGCUGUAUUUUUUUUAUUAUUUUUCUUUAUGAAGGUUUUGGGUCCUAUUUGUUAAAUUUCACACUAGUUUCUUGUCUAUUUGUCUCCUCAUGGCUGUCGGACUUUUGGAUUUGUUUCUCAUUUGCUUCUUGGACUUUCUUACGCCCUGAAUUUCUACAUUAACCUCAAUAAAAUGGCUUGUUUUUUGUUAGUAAGUCUGCCAUCUGUGUCCUGCUUUUGGGUCCUAACCUUUACAUGCCACACGACCUAACAAACCAAUCUUUUCAUGCAGUUUAGAACACUGAAUAUUUUCACAUUUUUUUCUUAUUUUCCAGCACAUUAGACCUUAUUUUGUCUUCCUACACCUGCACUAGAAGUCUCUGAAGUCAAAGAUAUGAUAAAUAGAAUAGAAAGUUUAUAUUUAUAGAACUGUAUCUUUGUAGUACAGUCAAUUUCACUAACAAAUUGCAUUUUGUACCUAAAGCUUCUCUAAAGCACAUCUCAGCGCAUUAUUGUGUAGGCUGUGAAUGGUUGUUUGUCACUUUCACAGAGCUGAGCAGUGGAGCAUCAUCUCAGCAGCCUCCUUAUCAUUGGAGGGAAGUCAUAUCUAGAUGUUUUCCCCUUUCUACUGGGAACAAAAUGGCAGAAAGCAGAAAGUCUUGUGCGAGUGAAGAAGCUAACCUGGUUCUGAUCAACAGUUAACAGAGAACAAAUAGCCUACAAAAGGAACUGUUAAAGAAAGAGUUACAUUAACAAAUCGUACGUUUGUAAUGUUGCUAAAACAUGAAUUCAAGUCAUGUAUUUCACCAGAUCUCAGAAGAAAAUACAUCUACUCCACUAUAUUUAUUUGACAGCAAAUGUUAAAAAUUCACAUUUUGCACAUAAACAACAGCCAUCAAAUGAUG